This 301-nucleotide ribosomal RNA is filed under the name uncultured bacterium. RNAcentral's name for it is "partial 16S ribosomal RNA". It matches the Rfam family "Bacterial small subunit ribosomal RNA", at positions 509 to 807 of the family's 1533-position model. The record is from RNAcentral.
CAGUAGCCGCGGUAAUACGUAGGGUGCGAGCGUUGUCCAGAAUUACUGGGCGUAAAGAGCUCGUAGGCGGUUUGUCGCGUCGUCUGUGAAAUUCUGCAGCUUAACUGUAGGCGUGCAGGCGAUACGGGCAGACUUGAGUACUACAGGGGAGACUGGAAUUCCUGGUGUAGCGGUGAAAUGCGCAGAUAUCAGGAGGAGCACCGGUGGCGAAGGCGGGUCUCUGGGUAGUAACUGACGCUGAGGAGCGAAAGCGUGGGUAGCGAACAGGAUUAGAUACCCGUGUAGUCCCUGUCUCUUAUAC